This 415-nucleotide ribosomal RNA is filed under the name Acanthamoeba sp. RNAcentral describes it as "SSU rRNA". It matches the Rfam family "Eukaryotic small subunit ribosomal RNA", at positions 762 to 1116 of the family's 1831-position model. Lineage: Eukaryota; Discosea; Longamoebia; Acanthamoebidae. The record is from RNAcentral.
AAAAUUAGAGUGUUCAAAGCAGGCAGAUCCAAUUUUCUGCCACCGAAUACAUUAGCAUGGGAUAAUGGAAUAGGACCCUGUCCUCCUAUUUUCAGUUGGUUUUGGCAGCGCGAGGACUAGGGUAAUGAUUAAUAGGGAUAGUUGGGGGCAUUAAUAUUUAAUUGUCAGAGGUGAAAUUCUUGGAUUUAUGAAAGAUUAACUUCUGCGAAAGCAUCUGCCAAGGAUGUUUUCAUUAAUCAAGAACGAAAGUUAGGGGAUCGAAGACGAUCAGAUACCGUCGUAGUCUUAACCAUAAACGAUGCCGACCAGCGAUUAGGAGACGUUGAAUACAAAACACCACCAUCGGCGCGGUCGUCCUUGGCGUCGGUCUUUCGGGGCCGCCGCGCGAGCGCCUUAUACCGGUGUGACCGGUGAA